Molecule: long non-coding RNA, 792 nt
Organism: Pongo pygmaeus (Bornean orangutan)
Lineage: Eukaryota; Metazoa; Chordata; Mammalia; Primates; Hominidae
Exons: 4
Source: RefSeq, a predicted model, not a curated record
CUGGAGAAAAGAGGCGUCGGACUCCUGGACGGGGUUGGGAAACGGUCACCAGUUUCGGCUCAAAGCAGCCUGUUUCCAGGAGGCCGCCAUGGUCGAGGCAGCGUCCUGGUCCCACGAGACGGGGAUCUUGUCGUGUUGCCCAAGCUGGUCUGGAACUCCUGGGCUCAAGCAAUCCUCCCACCACAGCCUCCCCAAGUGCUGGGAUUACAGGCAUGAGCCACCACACCAAGACGAUGAAAGAGUGGCAAUUAAAGAUUCCCAGGAGAACCUGCUAUUUCAACCUCCCGCCUCCUAUAACUGUGGGGGCCUAUUUCCUACUGGAGCAUAUUAGAAGCAAUGCUCCAGGAGCUUCUUACCAGCUUGAUCUCAAAAAGGAUAAAAAACCUGAACCAUUAUCUACCUGUUUGUCUUUCUGUUGGCUUCGAUCUCCUGAUGGCCAGAGUCUCCAGGAAUCAUUGUCAAUAACAUCAGCAAGAACAAUUUCUUUGGUGGUUACAUCAACACCAAAUUCAAUCUGGAAACAGCAUGUCAACAAAGUUUCAAAAACUAUUCUAUGAAAACAUCUCUCAACUAUAACCUUUACUUUCAAAUCCUAUUGUUUUAUCUGUACCUUCAUAUCAACCAGUGUACAAUUCUGGGGCAACCAGGAUUUCUCCAGUAUUUCAAAUAUAGCCUGUGUAGCAUGACUCAUGAUAUCCACUUCAGUCUGGCCUAUAACAAGUCCAGCAAAGCAAAAUUUUGCAGCAAUCAGCUGUUCUGCAGACCACUGUGGGUCAUUAUUGGCAUCAUCCU